Molecule: ribosomal RNA, 669 nt
Filed under: Candidatus Moranbacteria bacterium GW2011_GWD2_36_198
Lineage: Bacteria; Candidatus Moraniibacteriota
Description: bacterial LSU rRNA
Rfam family: Bacterial large subunit ribosomal RNA
Source: RNAcentral
CUAUGCAUUUUCUCUUCUCUUACCAGAGGGGGAACAGUGCCUGGUGGGUAGUUUGACUGGGGCGGUCGCCUCCUAAAUGGCAACGGAGGCGUUUACAAAGGUUGGUUAGGUCCGGAUGGAAAUCGGACUGAUAGCGCAAAAGUACAAACCAGCUUUACUGCAAGACCCAUAAGUCGAUCAGUUACGAAAGUAGAAUUUAGUGAACCGACCGUAGCAUGUAGAUGCGCGGAAGAUCAUCAGAUAAAAGUUACCCCGGGGAUAACAGGCUGAUCCCUCCCAAGAGUCCACAUCGACGGAGGGGUUUGGCACCUCGAUGUCGGCUCAUCGCAUCCUGGGGCUGGAGAAGGUCCCAAGGGUUUGGCUGUUCGCCAAUUAAAGCGGUACCAGGUUGGUCUCUAUCUGCUGUAGGCGUGAAUGUUUGAGGGAGCUCUUUCCUAGUACGAGAGGACCGGAAAGAACAAACCUCUGGUGUAUCGGCUGUUCCGCCAGGAGCACUGCCGAGUAGCUAUGUUUGGAAUAGAUAACCGCUGAAAGCAUCUAAGCGGGAAGCUAGUCCCAAGAUUAGACAUUAUGUGUAAUUUAUUACACUGAAAUCUCCUAGAAGAAUACUAGGUUGAUAGGCUUUAGAUGUAAGUCUCGCAAGGGAUUGAGUCAAGAAGUACUAAUAGA